Long non-coding RNA from Ictalurus punctatus (channel catfish), 3867 nucleotides. The record is from Ensembl. Lineage: Eukaryota; Metazoa; Chordata; Actinopteri; Siluriformes; Ictaluridae.
AGGCCCCCUGGGUGCCCCCUGGUGGCCCCCAAGGGGCCGUGGCCCCCACUUUCAAAACCACUGUGCUACACAACUCAAAAGUUUGUCUCAUUUUCUUCAAGUUCUUCUAUCCUACACUUUCCCAAGGCCUUUUCCUUUUUCCUUAAUCUUGUAACCGUUCCCGUAAUCUCUGUCGACGUUUUAUUUUCUUUGGCUUUCCCCUCGGAAACCUGGUACUAUUUGAAUUUCAUGAACAAACAAGUGGCAAGUCUUAUUAAAGGCUGGAUUUUGUGUAGACAUUAUUUAACAUAAUUCCAAAAACGACUCUGAAAUAAUGAAUAAACAAUGGGUUAUAUAAACACGCGUAUUAAUGCAGAGCACGAGCAUAUAAUUAAGACGCAUCAUUCCGAAGAAAGAAGUGUUCAGGGUGUGUGUGUGUGUGUGUGUGUGUGUGUGCACGUGCCCGCCCCAUCUGUGUGUGUGUGUGUGUGUGUGUGUGUAUAAAAUAAGAUAGGAAAAGAUCAUUUUUAUUGAUCCCACACUGGGGAAAUUCCCACGUUACAAUAGAGAAAUAAGAAUAAGAGUAAUACUCUGAAUGUGUGUGUGUGUGUGUGUGUUUAUGGGGGUGGGGCUUGUUGAAUAAUGGGGACUAAAUGACCCUACAAGCAUAGCAAAUAUCUGACAUUUUGGAUCUUGUAGGGUUCCAGUGAGGAACACUUUAAUACGUUUACAUUAAUUGGCUGCAUUCAUAGUUACGUCCUCACAUGACAAACGCGCGCGCGCGCGUGCGUGCGUGCGCGUGUGUGUGUGUGCACGUACGUGUGUGCAUUCAUCAAGGACAACCAGCACGACGCAUAAGUAGCUAUAAAUCAGCCUUAACCCGUUCUUAACGGAAAGGGCCGUUAUGUGGCGAUGCAACAAAGAGAAAACAAGCAGCGUUUAAAUAUGAUUACAACAGCAGAGAAAAUGGUCACGUUGAUUUUUUUUCCCCUCGAUUCUUUUCCACAAAAAAAAAGAAAGAAAGACAGAAAGAAAAGAAGACAGAAAAAGACUGCGCUUCAUUAUUGAACCGUUUUUAUUUAAUCAUAGCCAUGGUUUAACGAGAUUACAGGCUCCUUUUCACGUGUGUCUGAUGUGCGCGUGCGCUGUAAUUAGCACGGGAUCUCCUCGCGCCGAGGUGACGCACUCCUCAUCACACACACACACACACACACACACACAUACUGCACUGAAUUCAGGUAAUGUCUCGUCACACUUUAACCCAAUUUCAGCUGUCCAUGUUGUCCCAUCUGUUCAGUGGCACACAAAGGGUUAUUGUAGGCCAUGCUCUGCCUUGCCAGGCUUUUGAUUUUAAUUGCGGUGGCACUCAUCUACUCCUCUUCACUCAAAGGCUUGAAUACGCCGUUUGAAAUGUAAGCGUGUGAGAAGCUGAUUUUUUGUUCUUCCUCUCUUUUUCUCCCCCUUUCUCCCCUCCACUUAAUGCUUGUGAUACAUUAAAAGGUGUAAUCCGACUGAAAUGGAAAUUGCGCUCCUUGAAAACGGAUGAUGAGAGGAAGAUGGCAGGGCCGGCGUCGUGCUCCAUCAGAGAGGGUCAUGGGGGGCCUGGAGCCUAUCCCAGGGGCACAAGACAGGGGACACCAUGGACAGAGUGCCAACCCAUUGUAGGGCACAAUCACACACACAGUACAGACAAUUUAGAAAUGUCAAUCAGCCUACAACAUAUGACUCUGCUGGGUGGAAACCAGGAAGCAUGGGGAGAACGUACAAACUACAAACGGAGGCAGGAAUCGCACUCCCAACCCUGGAGGUGCGAGGCAGACGUGCUAACCACUAAGCCACCGAGGAACUACUACUGCCCCAAAUUUCAUUUUAGAGUGUAUAGACCUCUAAAUGAAAAAGACCUGUUCUUUCUCACUGAUACAAGUAGCAGGAUCAGCUCUGUUUGGACCUCUAGAGCAAGGUCAUCCCACUGCUCUCUGCUCCACUUACAAGUGCCCCCUUUUCAUAGGGCCUUCAGACGCCGAGCGAGAUCAGGACAAAGGAUAGGGAUGAAAAAAAAAGAAGAAGAAGAAGGAAAAAAAAGAAUAGUUCAAAAGAGAGCGGGCUUCACAUAACAUAGAUUUACAAUCUAAAUCUACGGUGAUAUCCAGCAUCUGCAUUGGACCGAUAUCGACACAAAUACUGGACUGGAAAUCCUGGGAGGAAAAAAGAACGAGGCCCGUAUGAGCCACGAAUGAGCGGGGAAGAAAGUUAUUCCGGGAUAUUUUUCUGUUUAUUAUAAUGUUGGAAAGAGCUUUAUUUCCAUAUAGAUUUUAAUUUUGGCAUGAAUAAGUAUUAUACUGUAAAAACAGUUAUUUUAUUAGAAGUUGUCUAAUUCGGUACACAUUAUCCCUGUGAUAUUUAUAUUUGAUCUGUUUAUUUGAAUAAAAAAGAUGCCGAGUUGUUAUGUUGAUGCCUGUGUGUUUUUGCUAGAGGAGAUAUAGGUCUGAGUGUUUGAGUUGGCAGAUUUAUUUGGACUUAAGUGAUUCAGUUAAAAUUGUUGAUUUUAAAGGUUAGUAGUGAAAAAAUAUGAAACUGAUAUUGGCCAAUAACCAAGCUUUCAAUAAUAGUAUAAUUUUCUAAAAGAAAAGAAAAAGUGCUGCUGCUUAUUAUUAUUAUUAUUAUUAUUAUUAUUAUUAUUAUUAUUAUUAUUGUUGUUGUUGUUGUUGUUAUUAACUCUUUGGCCAUCUAUUAUAUCUAGUAUCUAGUAUCCUUUAGUAUCUAGUAUAUAGAUAAUUGUGUUAUUGUACAGCCUCUCAUCUCUUAGAUGAAAAGGUUCUUCAAGGGUUCUUUAAAAGUUCUUGGGAUAAUUAAGGGUUCAUAGUUUCUUGAAAGGGUUUUGCAUUUUUCUGUAUCCUUUAUGAGAACACUUUCUGAUAGGGAAAUACUUAGGUUUAUGGCUCUUCAAGGAAUCUUUAGUGUUUCCUGGAGAGGCACCGUUUUUGUUGUUGUUGUUGUUGUUGUUGUUGUCCGAUUGUGUAUUGUCUGAUGCUUAUGCACGUACAUUAAAUUAGAAUGUGUUUUUAUCAUAUAUCGUAUAUCACCAGAAACAUUCACAACCAUUUAAUCAUGUCAUUAUAUUAACAGUCUUAGGUCGUUUCUGAUGAUGUUCAAAUACACGUUCUCUUUGAUGUAUUUAAUAACAUAUGUCUUGUAGUGCAUCUAUUUUGGACUUUAAUAAUUUGGUUGCAUUUGAAAGCAUGAUGUGGUCAGACUUCAAACCAAUUCUUAAGAGUCCAAUGAUUUUUUUUUUUUUUCACCUCUCUACAUCUAGCUCAUCAAGGUCUAAGUGACAGUUGAACUAAAAUGUUCCUGAUGUGUGUUGGCUAUAGAACUGCUGGUUGUGUGAGUGUUUUGUGAGUGUGUGGUGGAAAAAGCUCGAUGCAGGCAGACAUUCAGACAGCCUGUCUGCUGUGCACCGGCUGCACACGUUUUUUCCCCUCUGUAAAAAUAUCACACCUUAUUUACAAUUCAAUGAGGUGCACUGGGUAAGAGUAACAAAGCCUCUCUCUCUCUCUCUCUCUCUCUCUCUCUCUCUCUCUCUCUCUCUCUCUUCCUAUUUUCUCUUGCUCUCCCCCUUUAUUUCUCCAUUUCAGUCUAUCUCUCCCCUUCUCUGUCUCUCAUUUUCUCUCUUACCCCUCUUUCUGCCUCUCUGUCCUCUCUCUCUCUCUCUCUCUCUCUCUCUAUCUCUCUUUCUCUUACACUUCUUCUCCCCUCUUUCAUUUUCUCUCGGAUGUUUGGGUUUAAGCAUUGCUUAGUGCACCCAGAACAAAUAAUCAAGAAAACAGCACACAUCACCUUUCUUACCCAAGUCUGAAUUUUGUAUUUUGCUUUUAUUGUUCUCCGUUG